Molecule: non-coding RNA, 403 nt
Organism: Momordica charantia (bitter melon)
Lineage: Eukaryota; Viridiplantae; Streptophyta; Magnoliopsida; Cucurbitales; Cucurbitaceae
Source: RefSeq, a predicted model, not a curated record
UAUAAUUAUAAAAGAAGUUCUUGUAGUUUGAGCACCACAAGAGGGGUAUGUUGGGCACUACUCCAGAAAGAAUCUAUCUGACAUCCUAUCUUCAAAAAUUCGCCGAUUCUCUCUUUCCAUAUAUGCUACAAAAGGCAUAAUUAUAACUUAUAUUCAUGGCUGUCCUCUUGUUCAUGAAGCCAAGGAAAUUAGGCAAUCUAGAACCCAAUUGAAAUCAAUUUGAUUGGAGAGAUUCAUGGAAGGUAACCUUUUAGAAAAUGUAGUAUUUUUAGUUGUAGAAGGAAGAUAUUAUUGCGGGGAUUAACAUGAUCUCUUCAAAGCAUAUUUAUUUCUUUCGAGUUGAUAAUGUUAUAUUAUUCAUUUUAUCGCAUAAUCAUUUGAAUAAAGUUAUUUAGAUCAUAAA